UCUCCCUGGAAAAGGGUGGUAAUGCCGGAUGCUCCAGUUGAUCGCAUGGUCUUCUGGGAAAGCCUUUGCGGCAUGGGAUGGGGUCGCGUCCUAUCAGCUUGAUGGCGGGGUAACGGCCCACCAUGGCUUCGACGGGUAGCCGGCCUGAGAGGGCGACCGGCCACAUUGGGACUGAGAUACGGCCCAGACUCCUACGGGAGGCAGCAGUGGGGAAUAUUGCACAAUGGGCGCAAGCCUGAUGCAGCGACGCCGCGUGAGGGAUGGAGGCCUUCGGGUUGUAAACCUCUUUUGUUAGGGAGCAAGGCAUUUUGUGUUGAGUGUACCUUUCGAAUAAGCACCGGCUAACUACGUGCCAGCAGCCGCGGUAAUACGUAGGGUGCAAGCGUUAUCCGGAAUUAUUGGGCGUAAAGGGCUCGUAGGCGGUUCGUCGCGUCCGGUGUGAAAGUCCAUCGCUUAACGGUGGAUCCGCGCCGGGUACGGGCGGGCUUGAGUGCGGUAGGGGAGACUGGAAUUCCCGGUGUAACGGUGGAAUGUGUAGAUAUCGG
This 545-nucleotide ribosomal RNA is filed under the name Bifidobacterium breve. Its description in RNAcentral is "bacterial SSU rRNA". It matches the Rfam family "Bacterial small subunit ribosomal RNA", at positions 146 to 700 of the family's 1533-position model. The record is from RNAcentral. Lineage: Bacteria; Bacillati; Actinomycetota; Actinomycetes; Bifidobacteriales; Bifidobacteriaceae.